Megalobrama amblycephala (Wuchang bream) is the source of this 1601-nucleotide long non-coding RNA. RefSeq lists it as uncharacterized. The record is from RefSeq and is a predicted model, not a curated record. NCBI's taxonomy places the organism in Eukaryota, Metazoa, Chordata, Actinopteri, Cypriniformes, Xenocyprididae. The transcript has 5 exons.
AAGAGGAUAAGAGAGAAAAGUGAGUGCUUUAGAAGAGAAAGUGUUUCGUCCUAUCAUUGAUCGUGCUGCAUUGAUUGACACUCCAACGAGCCAAUGGUAGCAGCUCACUGAGAUGGCACCGGUGACUUCACCACUAUCAGACAUUGAGAGAGAGCGAGCGAGUCAGAUGAAGCAUGUACACACUGAGUGAUUUCCAGAUACUCCGUAAAAAAAAGAAAAAAAGAUCGUGAUUGAGAAAGAAAACUUGAAUGCAAUCAAGAGAUUACAUUUCUGAGUGAACUUUGAAGAGCUGAUGCCGAAGUGAGAAGACGACGAGGCAGAGAAUCGUGAAUAAAGGCCAAUGUAGAUACACGGAGCACCACAGCACCGCAAAUUAUCUUCUUAAUAAGAUGUGAAAUUCUUGCCUUGGCUGGGUUUUUUUUUCCUCCUUUAUGUGUUUUUCUGAGAAACUGUGAACACCAUCCUGGACACGUGAGACGCAUAUAAGCGUAUGUAAAAGGCGAGCCACCCGCGGAGACAAUUUGAUUGUUGAACCUUGAUCUUGAAUUCAUCGGAACCGGCGUCAAAAAUUGAAGCAUGGUCAAGCGCCCCCAGCGUCGCUUGGGAUACGCCAGCGGUGCCCCUCGGCGUCACUCUGUGGACGAACUGGGAACUCCUUUGCUUUCAAUGGGAACCUUUAGCGUCAAAAACAGACGCGAAUUUUAUUGCUGAAAAGACCAAAAGGGCCUUUCGGAAAUGGACUGAGAGACAGAAAGCUGCAAAGGCAAUUACUUGCAAUGAAUGAAAUCCUACAGUUAUGUAUGAACUCACAACAUCAUUAUCAAGUGCUGUGCUGGGCACAUUGGGCAACAAGUGUCCUCCAACAUACCCAAUCUGUGGCCCCGUUCUCCACAUCUUUCCAUGGGACACUGGCAUUCUUCAGGUCUUCGUGAAACAUCUGUCUCCACGUCUUCCCCUGCAUUCUCCUGGUGGUGUCCACUUCAUAUCUGUGUUUGGGUGUUGUUGUUUGGGCAUGCUUAGGAUCUGUCCAGGGAGGUGCACCCUUCGCUCUGUCACAGAUUUGAAAAGUCUUCACAUGGACUCCUCCUUAUGAUCUCUUUGAAACGUGCAGAACCAAUAUUGUAAAUAGUCAUUUAUCUUUUUCCGUAUUGUUGCCUUUAUCAAAGAAGCACCAGUGAUCAUCAGGAGUUUUGGUAAAAGACAUAUUCAUUGCCAUCCACUAGUUCUAGUCAUGCAGCGACUUCAUGAUGCAAUAGUCAAAUAUAUAUUUCUGCAGAGCAAUCGAAGAUCGAGAGUGUUCAGGAAAACCUUCUGAAAACAAUAUUUAUUUAAUUCUGUUUGGUGCUGAUAGAGUAUUACAGAAAUGACACACUUGACAUACUGGACAUUAUUCUGUGAGUUUGUUAUCUUUACAUUUAGAUGGACUUAAAAAUGUCUUGCAUUUUGCUUUAUUAAACCUUUUAUUACAGUGGUCACUAUAGUAAAUGUCCACCUUAACUACAUCUAUGGUUAUGGUUAUGGUAUCAUUAUACAGUGGUGAUCAGAAUUAUUGGCACCCUUGGUAAAUAUGAUCAAAGAUGACUAUAAAAAUAAAUCUGCAU